UAUUGGUUUGAAAUUCCAUUAAAUAUAUUGCAAGAGCUCCUAGGUUAAGCUUGAUUUAAAUUUGCAUACAUUUUCAUAUAUUUAGCAGAAAUAAAAGAAGGCUUGCAGCUACCAGAAAGUCAUUAAGGCAUUAGUUUCUCUGAGAAGACAGAUCUGGAGAAAAUUCAAGAAAAUGAAAAAAAAUUAUAUAUAAACAAGGCAAGGGGCCACGAAGUCUCCCUGUGCUUUGCGUUGCGUUGCUUACCACAUGCAACACGCAGCACCAGUCACAGGCGAAAACGUUGGGGCUGAGAUCAAUAGACUUUUAUACAGCUCCUUUUACCAAUAAAGCUUCAUUAACUUCAUGUCGAGCUUUGCUUGGCUGUAGGGAAGCGACCUGCCCCUGGACCAAGAGAAUCCAGCACAUUCUUGCCACAAAGGAGACAGAAAGUGAUGCAGAUGACAUGGAAAAGAAAAUAUUAUGGAUCUGAGAGGACUCCAGCAAGAAAAGAAUAUCAGCUCUACACAAAAAAUGUAAUUUGGACUCCAGAGCCCUGUGGUCUUCCUGCUUAUUGAAAACCAUUUUUUUAUUCAUAUCAAGAGGUCUGCUUUGGGUGGAACUUAUCUGAGGAUGGAGUCUUCUGAAUAUCAGAUCCCACUACAGUUUGAUACCAUGAUGAGAAUGUCUGGCCCACUGCCUUCCAGAAUCUGGCACUUACUUUAUUGAUGGAUAAUGAUGGUGUGUACAACAGAGGGACACUAAUCAUGAAGAAGAGGAGGAGGAGGAAGAAAGAAUUGUUUUCAUGUACAAAAGGUGAGAAAAAGGUUAAUUUGCUUGAGAAAUCAUGUCUAUGCCUGAGAAGGUCAACUUGCUCCAUCAUGUGUUCUGUAGUCUGAAGCUGACCUGAACCCAAACAACUCAGUUUAAUGAAAAAAAAAGUCCUCUUUUUUCUUUCUUUUUUCAUUAUAUUUCCUCUAGUAUCAAGUUUCUUUCACACCUUCACAGUAAAGGUAUGUGUGACCUAUUUUGGUUAGUCUAAUAUAUCAUCACCCUGUUCAGCAUCAGGGGUCUGAUCCUGUUUCCACUUAAUUUUUUAUAGCUAUUGUUGCAUUCUAAAAGUACAAACUUCAUCCUAAAUUGUGCUAAGUUCUUGUCUUCUCAAUCACUUUAGCUGACCAAGAACCAGAUCGACACUUGAUAUAACUCAGAGGAGUUUAAAUGCUGUCCUUAUUUGCAAUGGGUAAAACUGCCCAAAGAUCAGCUGAGUAAACGGAUGCUUCAAGUGUACCGUACCUGGUCUUGACAUGCCCCUCUCAGUGAUGUUGAGCACUUGCAACUAACAAUGUAGUCCAAGUGAGCAGUAAUCCUGAAAAGGAAAUAAGUACCUCUCAAGUUGCCUCUCCUUGUAAACUGACAGUGUUAUAAACAAUACACAAGCAAAUGGACAAAUAUGUGGGACAAAAAAGAAAUGGAGCAUUCCAAGUUGCAAAUCAAUAGCAAAAUACUUUAGAUGUCUACAGUCUAGAUUUUGAGGUAGGAACAAUGCAGUGAAUGUGAAUCCUAGUGACUUAAUGGUAAAAAACUUAUUAGCCUUGCCCUGUAGCUUCAAUGGGAUGGUUUCUAUGGGUAAAACCAGGAGGAUUUAGCCAAAGAUUACUUUGAAAUACCAGUGAAGUUAUCAGGGCAGUAAGAGCACUCUCAGAUACUAUCUAAGAUAGUAUCAAAGAUUAAAAAUCCCUUUCCAAACAAAUAUUUUUAUAUUAAAUGUAACAGAAGCUGUUUGAAUGCCUGUUAAUCCUGCACCUAUCAUCAUGGUCUCUGAACAUUUAGAUCAGUGGUUUUCAACCUUUUUUCAUUUGCAGCCCCCUAAAAAUUUUUUCGUGGAGGUGCAGACCCAUUUGAAUGUUGUGUGGGUAUUCACAUACUUUUGAAUAAUCAUAAUAAUAUUUUGUUGACCCCUUUGACAUAGUCUGUGGACUGCAAGGGUCCACAGACCAGAGCUUGAAAACUACUGACUUGAGAAAAUGAGACUUUUGACUUUGUUCCCCAAUAUAUUUGUCUGUUUUUCUUUUUCGCCUCCUCUCCUGCUCUGUUCUUUUUAUCUUAUCUAAUCAAACUAAAUUCUUGUACCAUUAUCAUCAUGGGAUAUCUGAGCAACCCUGUAUUUAAUUUUAUUCCCAGGUAUGAGAAUAAGGGCUAUUAUUGGAAUGUUAUAGAAUGCUACUGCAGAUACUAAUUAAAUAUUGUAUCUAUGUUCUUGUUUAAUUAUAUUUUCCAGUUUUAUGUUUGAGCUUGAAAACAACAUUACCUGGGCUUGCUAUAUAUAUAUUCUACCCACACUCAUUGUAUUAGAUUAUGAAACCAAUGUUUUAUAGCAUGAAUGUUUUACUCCUUUUUCUUAUUCUAUACAAUUGUCCUAAAUUCAUUAAUUAUAUUAUUGUGUUUGCAAAAUUAAGUUUCAAUCCUUCAGACCCUUAUGCCUGUACUUAGCCAAAUAUUUCAAAGGAAUUAGUAGGUUGCCGUGGCACAAUUUUCAUAAAUAGGCUCCUCAUAGAAGUUAGAAGGAUCAGACCCACAGAUUCUGUUUUAUGAAGCAGACUUUUCUAUACUUCACCUGAAGUGUUGGUAACACUGGGGUUUAUGAAAUGUGAAAUAGUGUCCAGACAACAAUAAGCAGUAUAAUCAUAUCAAGUCAUCUAUGAAGUGCCAUUCAUUCAUAUAUAUUAAAAAGUAUGUUAAAGCAAUUACAGUAUGUGAAACUCUAAUAUUAAAACAAAAUGUUCUAGUACUUGACUUCCAAUUCACGUGGGCAGCCUUGUUCAAAACAAAGCUGAAGCACACAGUGGGACUAAACAUGUGCUUAAAUACUUUGCUGAAUCCAGACUAAAGUUAUUCAGUGAAGAAGCGCUCAUUUACUAGAGUGCACAAGAGCUGUAUAGUAGGCCUGUGCAAAACGGCAAGUAUUCAAUUCAGAUUUGGAUUCAGCUGAUUCGGAGGGACAGUAAUUUGAUUCGAUGAUUUGAAUCACUGUCCCAACUUGGUUUGGCUGAUUUGGAUUCGAAGAUUUGGCACCUAUUUGGAGAUUUGAACAUAGAUUAAACAGGCAGCAGGCCUCGAGGAUGCUGGACACAGCUGCCUCCAGCUGGGAAGUCUGUUGU
This is a long non-coding RNA of Alligator sinensis (Chinese alligator), 3138 nucleotides long. RefSeq lists it as uncharacterized. The record is from RefSeq and is a predicted model, not a curated record. The transcript has 8 exons. Lineage: Eukaryota; Metazoa; Chordata; Crocodylia; Alligatoridae.